GACAGAGGUGCCAAGCGUUAGGCGGAAUCACUGGGCUUAAAGCGUGUGUAGGCGGAAUGGUAAGUACCUUGUGAAAUCCCACGGCUCAACCGUGGAACUGCUGGGUAUACUGCUUUUCUUGAGCCACUUAGGGGCUGUCGGAACAAACGGUGGAGCGGUGAAAUGCGUAGAUAUCAGGAGGAACACCAAUAGCGAAGGCACUCUACUGGGCCAUUACUGACACUAAGAGACGAAAGCUAGGGGGAGCAAAUGGG
This 254-nucleotide ribosomal RNA is filed under the name uncultured bacterium. RNAcentral describes it as "partial 16S ribosomal RNA". It matches the Rfam family "Bacterial small subunit ribosomal RNA", at positions 524 to 776 of the family's 1533-position model. The record is from RNAcentral.